UGAGUGGGUUUGUCUCUUUGUGGGAGCUCCCAUUCUCAAGGUGCCUUAAGUGAAGUGAAAACAACCCUCAGCGUCAGCUCUUCUUCCUGCUUGAUUUUGUAUUGUGGUCACAGCUGCAAAGAGUUCGUGUGAAUGAGCAAAAAGAAACCAACUAGGCUGGAAAGCAGGAGCAACUAGCCUCGCCGAUAAGAAGGUGUUUGAACAUUAAACCUGUUCAAGACUACCUGGUUGCUUCACCAGCUGUAUCCGAAUAAAAAAGGAAAUCUGGCUGUAGAUUCCUUACUAUGCAAAUUAGUUACUGCAACCAACUUGCUUUAUGUU
Non-coding RNA from Cyanistes caeruleus (blue tit), 321 nucleotides. The record is from RefSeq and is a predicted model, not a curated record. NCBI's taxonomy places the organism in Eukaryota, Metazoa, Chordata, Aves, Passeriformes, Paridae.